GGUGGCAAUGGCGGAGGGGCCACACCCGUUCCCAUUCCGAACACGGUCGUUAAGCCCUCCAGCGCCGAUGGUACUGCCCUCGAGAGGGGGUGGGAGAGUAGGUCGCCGCC
Molecule: ribosomal RNA, 110 nt
Filed under: Minwuia thermotolerans
Lineage: Bacteria; Pseudomonadati; Pseudomonadota; Alphaproteobacteria; Minwuiales; Minwuiaceae
Source: RNAcentral